RNAcentral lists this ribosomal RNA (253 nucleotides) under uncultured bacterium. Its description in RNAcentral is "partial 16S ribosomal RNA". It matches the Rfam family "Bacterial small subunit ribosomal RNA", at positions 524 to 776 of the family's 1533-position model. The record is from RNAcentral.
GACAGAGGGUGCAAACGUUGUUCGGAAUUACUGGGCGUAAAGCGCGUGUAGGCGGCCAACUAAGUCGGGCGUGAAAUCCCACGGCUCAACCGUGGAAGUGCACUCGAAACUGGAUGGCUAGAGUCCUGGAGAGGAAGGUGGAAUGCUUGGUGUAGAGGUGAAAUUCGUAGAUAUCAAGCGGAACACCGGUGGCGAAGGUGGCCUUCUGGACAGUGACUGACGCUGAGACGCGAAAGCGUGGGGAGCAAACAGG